This 374-nucleotide ribosomal RNA is filed under the name Penicillium brevicompactum. RNAcentral describes it as "eukaryotic LSU rRNA". It matches the Rfam family "Eukaryotic large subunit ribosomal RNA", at positions 1 to 370 of the family's 3401-position model. The record is from RNAcentral. Lineage: Eukaryota; Fungi; Ascomycota; Eurotiomycetes; Eurotiales; Aspergillaceae.
UUGACCUCGGAUCAGGUAGGGAUACCCGCUGAACUUAAGCAUAUCAAUAAGCGGAGGAAAAGAAACCAACAGGGAUUGCCCCAGUAACGGCGAGUGAAGCGGCAAGAGCUCAAAUUUGAAAGCUGGCUCCUUCGGGGUCCGCAUUGUAAUUUGCAGAGGAUGCUUCGGGAGCGGUCCCCAUCUAAGUGCCCUGGAACGGGACGUCAUAGAGGGUGAGAAUCCCGUAUGGGAUGGGGUGUCCGCGCCCGUGUGAAGCUCCUUCGACGAGUCGAGUUGUUUGGGAAUGCAGCUCUAAAUGGGUGGUAAAUUUCAUCUAAAGCUAAAUAUUGGCCGGAGACCGAUAGCGCACAAGUAGAGUGAUCGAAAGAUGAAAA